RNAcentral lists this ribosomal RNA (253 nucleotides) under uncultured bacterium. RNAcentral describes it as "partial 16S ribosomal RNA". It matches the Rfam family "Bacterial small subunit ribosomal RNA", at positions 524 to 776 of the family's 1533-position model. The record is from RNAcentral.
UACAGAGGGGGCAAGCGUUAUUCGGAAUUAUUGGGCGUAAAGGGCGCGUAGGCGGCCCAGCAAGUCAGGGGUGAAAUCCCUCGGCUCAACCGAGGAAUUGCCUCUGAAACUGCAGGGCUUGAGACCGGGAGAGGGUGGUGGAAUUCCCAGUGUAGCGGUGAAAUGCGUAGAUAUUGGGAGGAACACCGGUGGCGAAGGCGGCCACCUGGACCGGUUCUGACGCUGAGGCGCGAAAGUGUGGGGAGCAAACAGG